GGUCAAAGAGCGACACCUGUUCAGCUAUCAGUUUCAUCCUGUCACUGCUUUUAGCCUCUCGCUCCUAUCACCAUGCCUUCUUUGCCAUGACAGUGCUACAGAUCUGACCCUCACACCAAGCACUGACAGAGAUUUAACAUAAUUUCAGAGCAGUAGACACAUAAAGCAAGCAUUUAUUCCAGGGAGUAUAGAUUGAUUCAUUCAUUUUUAAGAUAAUGAUAAAAGAAAUGAAGAAACACAGAAUAAUUCCUGUGAAUGCAUAUUUAAUAAAUCAAGCGGUAUGGGCUUGAGCAUGAGUUCUGGUAAAAUAUAGAAACAUAGUGAAGCUUCCAGUCCUAAUACUGCAAAUUCAGUAAAAAUACAUUUAUGCAAACCCAGGAGGAGCUCUAGGUAUAGAAUUACAGCACAAACAGCCAAACAACCACACAGGGUGUCUGAGAUUGAGCAUUUUUUAAUUAAUUUAUAAUAUGAUUGACAAGUAUAUAAAGACACUUUAUAUACUUUAUCCUGAUUGGUUGGAUGUUGUUGGUCCACACCAUCCACAACACUGUUGGCAGUUUCACUUUACCUUUCAAACAAUAAGCUAGUGGUCAUCAUUUCAAGUUUAUUUGAAAUAAAUUCAAUUACAUUGAAUUUGAUCAACCACAGUAGUUUUUCCUGUCAUAUGUUCACUGUUGGAGCUAAUAGAAUUAUGGUAAUUAAUUAUUUACAGUUGAGUAAUAUGUGGUUAACUAAUUUAUCUCACACCUAUGUUCUUAAUACAAUAUAUAAGCAAACGUUAGUAAAUAUGUGAAUUAAGUCUUUCAAAAAAAAUAUUUGAAAUGUUGGCAGGGACUUCCAGGGACACACUUCCUUGCAAAGAAUAAGGUUUUCCUCUGCUCCUGACACACCUGAUCCUCAUAACUCAUAAAGGGCUCUUCAGCUCAUUAUUAGGAAGUUGAGGAGUGUUAGGAGCAGAGGAAGCAUGCAACUGUGCAGGUCAGUGACUAGGUUGAGUCUAAGAAUUAAAUUUACCAAUAAAUGAGCAAAUGUAAAAUAAAACUUAUACUGAAAUAUAACUACAUUAUAUAAAAUCUAUUUUAAACUUACAAUAAUUAUUGAAUAAUUAUUGAUGCUUAAUUAUUAAUUAAUUGUUAAGUAAUGAAUCAGUAAUCCAUCAUUAUAAACUAUGUUUUACUUGCUUUUAUGUAGUUUAUUACCAAACAUUAAAGGUGUUAACAGAAUGAUAUAUAAUGCCAUAGUCCAUGUCAGGAUUCCAGUUAUUGUGUAGUAACUGCAUAUAGCCAUGGUAUUUGUUACAAUCAGCCAGCUUGCUAAUCGUCCUCAUUCAAUACCUGCUAUUUAUUACACUGACUUCUGACCUGCUUGUAAACUUUAGUGUAUGCCUAUGAUUAACUAGGCUCUUAUUUAUUUAUUAUUGUUUUUAUUUUAUUGUUUAUUUCUAGUUUAGAUUCCUACAGAGCAAAAAAGAAGUCAUUAGACAUUUUAAGGGCCCUGAUUAGGCAAAUCACAUGCACUCAAGCCUGGGACUGGAGUUGUGUGGUUUUGUUGAGAGGUGUUAACCAUGCUGCAGUGCAUUUGCAGCUCCUUUCCGCUCACCCCUGCAUUUGGACGUGAGCGUUCAGCCCUUACUCAGCACUCUUUCAGCCCCUGAUUGGCUGAUCCAGGCAAAGUGCGACAGUAACAAUAGUCCUAACGCUCAUCCAUGUGUUCUCCUCUACAGAAAGUAAAGAGGCCCAGAAUGUCCAGUGUGACAGGGGGAAAAAAAAGGGAAGGGGUACUUUAAAAAUAGUCAGUAUAUUUUGUGUUGCCUGUGCUCUUUUGCUUGUUAUAUUUUGUGAUGUUACACAAGCUUAUCCUACCUAAUUAUCAUAAUUUUAAACUGUAAAGGUUAUAUAGUGAUUAUUGGCAUCUCAAAUUCUUGAUCUUUAAUUUCACUUGUUUAAUUUCCCAAAUCAAAGUUUUUCAUUAAAUCUUUUAAAUCACAUUGUAACAAUAUUUAAAUAAAUCACAAGCAUUUUUCUCUCUACUGUGUUUGUGAUCACCAUGCUCUCACUCUGUCUCUCUUUUUCUCUCUCUCUGUCUUAGUAAAAUAUUCAGAGACAACACUCUUAAACUGGUGAAGAUUUAAAAUUUGUACUGUGUCUCUUUGUAAUCUUGCUUAAUAGUGAUUUACUAGAGGUUGCAUUGUUUGUCUUGUACAGUCUGAAAUGAGAUUCCUGGGGAGCUCCUCUACUGCACUGUGACUUUUUUUAUUUCAUUGUAUUCACUUUAAUUCUAUUUGUUACUGCAGCGUCAUAUGGUAAACUCUUUAAUGAGGUGGGAUAAAAUAUUAAAUACCAAACUAUGUAUUGUAUAUAUCAUUGACUGGUCCAUAACACACACACACACAUACACACACACACACACACACACACACACACACACACACACACACACACACACACACACACACGCACACACACACACACACAAGUGCAGUUCAAUGAGCAGCACCAACAUGGAGAAAAAAGCAGAAAAGGAGGAACUCAAACAGGAAAAAAAAACUACACUUUUGCAUCUACUGCAUACCUAUCAGAACAUCUCUCUCUCUCUCUCUCUCUCUCUCUCUCUCUCUCUCCCUCCCACCCUCUCUCAUAUAUACACAACAAGGACAUCUCUGCUAUGGAACAAGCUGUCAGUGUGGAUGAGCAUAAUAUUGGUGUAAUAAAAAGUGCAUUGCAAAGGAAUGGGUGAAAAAAAAUGUGAUCUAUGACAACCCAGGUCCAAAAGUGCAUGUAUAGCAUUUCUAAAUAAUUUUUGCGACUCAUGGAAAAGAUACACUUGAAUUAAAAAAAAUAUAAAUAAAUAAAUUCCCCACCAGCUUUUGUAUUAUUUCCCAUAAUCCAUAAAUGAGAGAUGAUUUAGAGUGCAAGCUGAUUGUAAUGACAGCAACAGCCAGAAUAAAGCCGAACUUUACAUUCACAAUAUGUCACAAUCUGGUUUUAUUUUAUUAUAAACGUAUACCAUGAAUCAAGCAAUAUCUUUAGAAAGUGUUUGGAUCAGUUUCUGUCAGACGCUUAGGUAAGAUUUAAUACUUUCAAAAAGUAGUGAAGAGCAUCAGUUACCUCUCUCUCUCUCUCUCUCUCUCUCUCUCUCUCUGUGUGUGUGUAUGUGUGAGUCAAUGUGUGUACUAUUCAAUUAAAUUCUUGGAAAAAUUUGAUAUCUAAAUUUGAAAUGUUGGAUAUCUUUGAAAUCUAAGUGAUAUUCCUUAAUUAAUUUUUUAUUCCCCUUUCUGCUGAUGACCUCAGUGCCACAGUGUUUGAUCUCUUUACUAUUAAACCUCAGAGGUGCUCUGUUCCAUUUCUACACAGACCUGCAGUAACGGGGAACCUGGAGCCUAUCCCAGGGAGCAUCAGGCACAAAGCAGGGUACACCCUGGACAGGGUGCCAAUCCAUCGCAGGGCACACAAUCACAUACACACUCACAUACCCAUUCAUACUCUACGGACACUUUAGACAUACCAAUCAACCUACCAUGCAUGUCUUUGGACUGAGGGAGGAAACCGGAGUACCCGGAAGAAACCCCUGCAGCACGGGAAGAACGUGCAAACUCCGCACCCACAGAGCCACGGGAAUCGAACCCCGACCCUGGCGGUGAACGUGCUAUCUACUAAGCCACCAUGCGUUAGUAUUUAUAUAUUUAUUUCAUUUCAAAAGGUACAGUCCAUUUUCAUGGUGCAUUCAGUACUGUUUAUUUUUGUAAUAAAGUUCAGCAAUAUUUUACUUUGAGUGUUAUAUUUUUAUCAGUUGAUUAAUCCAUUAUCAGCAGGUAUUGCCCAACUUAGUUAUCAGUAUCAGUAAAGUCCUCUAUUGUUCGACCAGUGAAAUAAAUUAAGAUGUAAACCCUGCAGUUCAGUGCUGGAAUGUACUUGAGUAUGCACUACUAAAGUGUUCAAAUAAGUGUGUGAGUGUGUGAAUGAGUGAGUGAGUAAGUGAGAUAGGAAAUACAGUGUUUCACCUGUACAGGCCUUCAAAUAGACACAUGAACCAGAUUGUGUAUAGACUCUCACAACUACAAUCUUCUAUCAAUGUUUUCUACAAGUUAUAUUAGAUAUUUUAUUUUAUACAUAAAAAAAAAUUCUAUCCCCACAGGCAUUCUGAACAUGUCAGCAAGAUGUGCCCAAACAUAAUUGCUAUUUGCUAUCCUUUUCUAUAGUCAUGAUGUUUAUAUUUUCCUGUCCCCAACUUAAUCUUUGCAGUAAUAUUAUGAUGUGUGCAUGCAUGAUGGAAAGAGAUGAAUAUGGAGUCAUUUAAAAGACAGAUGCUUUCCCUGCAUAUGCUUAUGAUUGACAAUACAGAAUGCAUUGGGAUGUUUCUCUCCCAUGAAUCUUUCUAGAAUUAUGUAAUAACACAUUAAUAGCAGUAUUAAUAAUUUGUAAUAACAAAGCAUUGUGCCACUUCUUUGCGGUUGAGUAUUAAUAAGUAAUAAGUUGCAAUUCGCUGUUACAGGCUGGUCUCUUGCUUGCCAACCAAAUGAGGAUGGCGAACCCUAGAACCCUACACUCUAGUGCCCUUGAUCUUUUAAUGACUUCCUCCAGGUUUACAUCUUUAGUGAAUGUUAAUUAAUCUACAGUGUUAAUGUUGAGGAAACAUGUCCAUUCAGUGGUGUGGAAGGUCUGUGCAUACUGGUUAAAUGGGAAGCACUUCCUGCUAGCUGUAGACAGACGAAUGAACUAUAAAAGGUGAAACACCAGUCGAAGAAAACUAGUAAAAAGUUAUGGUGUCAAUAAGCUCUGGCUGUCUCACUCAGCAAAAUGCCCUCAGCAGAGCUAAAAGAAAAAAAAUUAUAGUCAGUAAUAAUAAGUCCAUCUGUGAUGGUCCACUAAGCUUUGAUUCUAUGUAAUUAUCUGUAUGUCUCUCUCUCAGUCUCUCGCUCCCUCAUAUAGAAGGGAUUGGCUGUUAUUGUGGUUAAAUGCUAGCAGAUGUCUCCUUAAUUGAUCGAAACAAAUUACCAAGGCAUUGAUCCUGUGUGUGUGUGUGUGUGUGUGUGUGUGUGUGUGUGUGUGUGUGUGUGUGUGUGUUGGCAGGCAAUCGUUCUUGUUCAUGGAUGCAAUCUGAAAAAAACUGUGCUUCAGUUAACAUUAUUUUUUUCUAACUUAAACUAAGCUGCAAAUCUCAUUGUCAUCACUUACAUCUGUCAUCUGUCCUUUCUGGAUUGUGAAAAAAAUUAUGUGUGUCAGCCAUUUUUACAUAAGCCCCUUUUAUGCGGUGUCGUGGGGUUGGUUAAUUUAUGCACCGCUGCUUCACCUUCGCCAUCCCCAUAGAGGUGUUAACUGAACCUCUAAGACGCUGCUCUAACCAGAAACGCUGGUUCACUGACAAGCUGUCAGGAUCAUGAGUAAUGGUGCGCAGACGUAUAGGCCUUCCCUAUACUCUGACCUCUGCAUUCACUCUUGAGGCUAAACUUUUGACCUCAGCUGAUGUCUUUAAGGUCUAGAAUUGACCUCUUUUCAUGACUGUACCUGAUUGAACAUGCUAAUCACAUUCUAAUAGUUGAUUUAGAAUGGACACAUUGUGUGUAUUCCUGCUUCACAUGUUGAUGAAACCCUUUCAAAACAUCAGUGUGCUUUUACAUCUCACCACACACACUGCUCAGGAAUGCCACUCAUGCAUUGAACAGGAUAGAUGGUUUAGGCUCAUCGCUAAGACUCCUUAUCAUAACUCCCCAAGGCAAAGCAGUUGUCAUGUACUGUGCGCUUAUUGUGUAAUGACUUAUAUACAGCUCUCAGCAAGCUGCUGUCGUGAACCCGCACUGUGAUUUACUGCAUUGGAUUUGUAUGCCUACUCAAACAAGCACAGAUUUCCCCCUUUAGAGCCAUACAGUACAUACAGCAUGCUGAAUUAUAUAUAAAUGACAUCUAGGUGUGCUGUAUUUUCUGUAAUCUCACCAACCAAUUUUCAGAUUUAUUCUUCUUUAAACUAAACCAAAAUGGUGCUUUCUGGUCUAUUUCUGGUCUGGUCUAUUUAAUAGAUUUUGGCAAAGGUUAGCUGAAAUAGCUAGCUGCUUGGAAAUUCAAGAUAAAAAGAAAAUAAAGUGUCUGUCAUCAGUGUUCCUUCUGAGGUCACACUCCCAAAACACUUGCAGAGGCUGGAAAAUCUGAACGGUAGUGUAAGAAUUGUUAGGCAACAUGACUGAGAAGUCUCUUAGUUCUGAUUUAUUUGGAUUGGAUGUUGCUGUGCUGAUCCAUAUGGUCACGGACAAAAACUUU
Molecule: long non-coding RNA, 6251 nt
Organism: Ictalurus punctatus (channel catfish)
Lineage: Eukaryota; Metazoa; Chordata; Actinopteri; Siluriformes; Ictaluridae
Source: Ensembl